RNAcentral lists this ribosomal RNA (254 nucleotides) under uncultured bacterium. RNAcentral describes it as "partial 16S ribosomal RNA". It matches the Rfam family "Bacterial small subunit ribosomal RNA", at positions 524 to 776 of the family's 1533-position model. The record is from RNAcentral.
UACGUAGGGGGCAAGCGUUAUCCGGAUUUACUAGGUGUAAAGGGAGCGUAGGUGGCAUGGUAAGCCAGAAGUGAAAACCCGGGGCUCAACCCCGCGGAUUGCUUUUGGAACUAUCAGGCUGGAGUGCUGGAGGGGUAAGCGGAAUUCCUAGUGUAGCGGUGAAAUGCGUAGAUAUUAGGAGGAACACCGGUGGCGAAGGCGGCUUACUGGACAGAAACUGACACUGAGGCUCGAAAGCGUGGGGAGCAAACAGG